Molecule: ribosomal RNA, 1459 nt
Filed under: Hyadesia curassaviensis
Lineage: Eukaryota; Metazoa; Arthropoda; Arachnida; Sarcoptiformes; Hyadesiidae
Description: eukaryotic LSU rRNA
Rfam family: Eukaryotic large subunit ribosomal RNA
Source: RNAcentral
GAUUCCCUUAGUAACGGCGAGCGAACAGGGAUAAGCCCAGCGCCAAGUCCUGAUGCUUGACGUAUUCAGGAGAUGCGGCGUUUGUGUACUGGUGCAUCACAUGUUGCUUGGUGCUUCAAAUUCCUUUGACAGGGAUUCCCGUAGUGGGUGCUAGGCCCAUAGAGGCUGCCAAGCUGGCAUGUGCAGAUCAGUGCAUCUUAGAGUCAGGUUGCUUGARAGUGCAGCCUAAAGCAGGUGGUAAACUCCAUCUAAGGCUAAAUAUUACAGCGAGACCGAUAGCAAACAAGUACUGUGAAGGAAAGUUGCAAAGAACUUUGAAGAGAGAGUUCAAAAGGACGUGAAACCACUGGCAGGUAAACAGGUAGAACCACGAAGUGUGUUCAAAAGGCAAUUCAAUUAGCAUUUGUGAUUGGCUGUGUUUGUAAGUUGAGUCUUUUCGAAGACUAUGCAAAUGCCGUCGGCGAUCACUUAUGUUGAUGCAUUUUGUCCUUUUGACGAGAAGCCACGUCUGACUAGGAGGUUGGAAUGGCCGUAGUGAGUGAUUCAAGGAAGGUAGCCGUGCUGUGUCUUGUAUGCAUCAUGGUGUUAUAGCUUUGAGUCCGUGCCAUUGCCUAACGUGCUGGUCAGUGCAAUUGUUCCUAAUGGAAUAUUGCUAGUAAUGGUCAUGUAUGCCUGCUGUUACAAUGUSCUGCUGCUCGGYUAUUCUUUCGACAUUUUUGGAUGCGUAAAGGUAGCCUUGUUGAUAUUGGKGCAUUAUAAUGGUUGUCGCAUGAUAUGGCUGAAUGCAAACUGUGGUGCGAGUAGGUCGGUCUCUACCUGRCCCGUCUUGAAACACGGACCAAGGAGCCUAACAUAUACGCGAGUCGCUCGGUCUUGAANAGGCCAGAGAGGCGCAAUGAAAGUAAUGCUACGAAGUUGUUUCUUYUUAGAAGCGACUGCAGUAGCGGCCCGCCGGCUUUCUUUAUUGGGGAUAUGGCGGAGCUGGAGCGUAUACGUUGGUACCCGAAAGAUGGUGAACUAUGCCUGGGCAGGACGAAGCCAGAGGAAACUCUGGUGGAGGUCUGCAGCGAUUCUGACGUGCAAAUCGAUCGUCAGACCUGGGUAUAGGGGCGAAAGACUAAUCGAACCAUCUAGUAGCUGGUUCCYUCCGAAGUUUCCCUCAGGAUAGCAGGCGCUUGUUAAAUCAGUCUCAUCCGGUAAAGCUAAUGAUUAGAGGUCUUGGGGUCGAAACGACCUCAACCUAUUCUCAAACUUUAAAUGGGUGAGAUGCUUGACUUGCUUGAUUUGAAGCCAAGCAAUUGGAUGUAAGUGCCUAGUGGGCCAGCUUUGGUAAGCAGAACUGGCGCUGUGGGAUGAACCAAACGUUGAGUUAAGGCAUCUAAUGCAUACGCUCAUCAGAUCCCAUGAAAGGUGUUGGUUGCUAUAGACAGCAGGACGGUGGCCAUGGAAGUCGGAAUCC